This 465-nucleotide ribosomal RNA is filed under the name Vreelandella stevensii. RNAcentral's name for it is "partial 16S ribosomal RNA". It matches the Rfam family "Bacterial small subunit ribosomal RNA", at positions 338 to 795 of the family's 1533-position model. Lineage: Bacteria; Pseudomonadati; Pseudomonadota; Gammaproteobacteria; Oceanospirillales; Halomonadaceae. The record is from RNAcentral.
CCUACGGGAGGCUGCAGUGGGGAAUAUUGGACAAUGGGGGCAACCCUGAUCCAGCCAUGCCGCGUGUGUGAAGAAGGCCCUCGAGUUGUAAAGCACUUUCAGUGAGGAAGAACGCCUGGUGGUUAAUACCCAUCAGGAAAGACAUCACUCACAGAAGAAGCACCGGCUAACUCCGUGCCAGCAGCCGCGGUAAUACGGAGGGUGCGAGCGUUAAUCGGAAUUACUGGGCGUAAAGCGCGCGUAGGUGGCUUGAUAAGCCGGUUGUGAAAGCCCCGGGCUCAACCUGGGAACGGCAUCCGGAACUGUCAAGCUAGAGUGCAGGAGAGGAAGGUAGAAUUCCCGGUGUAGCGGUGAAAUGCGUAGAGAUCGGGAGGAAUACCAGUGGCGAAGGCGGCCUUCUGGACUGACACUGACACUGAGGUGCGAAAGCGUGGGUAGCAAACAGGAUUAGAUACCCCUGUAGUC